RNAcentral lists this ribosomal RNA (1478 nucleotides) under metagenome. RNAcentral's name for it is "bacterial SSU rRNA". It matches the Rfam family "Bacterial small subunit ribosomal RNA". The record is from RNAcentral.
GAGUUUGAUCAUGGCUCAGAUUGAACGCUGGCGGCAGGCCUAACACAUGCAAGUCGAACGGUAACAGGAAGCAGCUUGCUGCUUCGCUGACGAGUGGCGGACGGGUGAGUAAUGUCUGGGAAGCUGCCUGAUGGAGGGGGAUAACUACUGGAAACGGUAGCUAAUACCGCAUAAUGUCGCAAGACCAAAGAGGGGGACCUUCGGGCCUCUUGCCAUCGGAUGUGCCCAGAUGGGAUUAGCUUGUUGGUGGGGUAACGGCUCACCAAGGCGACGAUCCCUAGCUGGUCUGAGAGGAUGACCAGCCACACUGGAACUGAGACACGGUCCAGACUCCUACGGGAGGCAGCAGUGGGGAAUAUUGCACAAUGGGCGCAAGCCUGAUGCAGCCAUGCCGCGUGUAUGAAGAAGGCCUUCGGGUUGUAAAGUACUUUCAGCGGGGAGGAAGGGAGUAAAGUUAAUACCUUUGCUCAUUGACGUUACCCGCAGAAGAAGCACCGGCUAACUCCGUGCCAGCAGCCGCGGUAAUACGGAGGGUGCAAGCGUUAAUCGGAAUUACUGGGCGUAAAGCGCACGCAGGCGGUUUGUUAAGUCAGAUGUGAAAUCCCCGGGCUCAACCUGGGAACUGCAUCUGAUACUGGCAAGCUUGAGUCUCGUAGAGGGGGGUAGAAUUCCAGGUGUAGCGGUGAAAUGCGUAGAGAUCUGGAGGAAUACCGGUGGCGAAGGCGGCCCCCUGGACGAAGACUGACGCUCAGGUGCGAAAGCGUGGGGAGCAAACAGGAUUAGAUACCCUGGUAGUCCACGCCGUAAACGAUGUCGACUUGGAGGUUGUGCCCUUGAGGCGUGGCUUCCGGAGCUAACGCGUUAAGUCGACCGCCUGGGGAGUACGGCCGCAAGGUUAAAACUCAAAUGAAUUGACGGGGGCCCGCACAAGCGGUGGAGCAUGUGGUUUAAUUCGAUGCAACGCGAAGAACCUUACCUGGUCUUGACAUCCACGGAAGUUUUCAGAGAUGAGAAUGUGCCUUCGGGAACCGUGAGACAGGUGCUGCAUGGCUGUCGUCAGCUCGUGUUGUGAAAUGUUGGGUUAAGUCCCGCAACGAGCGCAACCCUUAUCCUUUGUUGCCAGCGGUCCGGCCGGGAACUCAAAGGAGACUGCCAGUGAUAAACUGGAGGAAGGUGGGGAUGACGUCAAGUCAUCAUGGCCCUUACGACCAGGGCUACACACGUGCUACAAUGGCGCAUACAAAGAGAAGCGACCUCGCGAGAGCAAGCGGACCUCAUAAAGUGCGUCGUAGUCCGGAUUGGAGUCUGCAACUCGACUCCAUGAAGUCGGAAUCGCUAGUAAUCGUGGAUCAGAAUGCCACGGUGAAUACGUUCCCGGGCCUUGUACACACCGCCCGUCACACCAUGGGAGUGGGUUGCAAAAGAAGUAGGUAGCUUAACCUUCGGGAGGGCGCUUACCACUUUGUGAUUCAUGACCG